GAUGAACGCUGGCGGCGUGCUUAACACAUGCAAGUCGAACGAAGCACUUUAUUUGAUUUCCUUCGGGACUGAUUAUUUUGUGACUGAGUGGCGGACGGGUGAGUAACGCGUGGGUAACCUGCCUUGUACAGGGGGAUAACAGUUGGAAACGGCUGCUAAUACCGCAUAAGCGCACAGCAUCGCAUGAUGCAGUGCGAAAAACUCCGGUGGUAUAAGAUGGACCCGCGUUGGAUUAGCUAGUUGGUGAGGUAACGGCCCACCAAGGCGACGAUCCAUAGCCGACCUGAGAGGGUGACCGGCCACAUUGGGACUGAGACACGGCCCAAACUCCUACGGGAGGCAGCAGUGGGGAAUAUUGCACAAUGGGCGAAAGGCUGAUGCAGCGACGCCGCGUGAGCGAAGAAGUAUUUCGGGAUGUAAAGCUCUAUCAGCAGGGAAGAUAAUGACGGUACCUAACUAAGAAGCACCGGCUAAAUACGUG
RNAcentral lists this ribosomal RNA (481 nucleotides) under uncultured bacterium. RNAcentral describes it as "partial 16S ribosomal RNA". It matches the Rfam family "Bacterial small subunit ribosomal RNA", at positions 28 to 507 of the family's 1533-position model. The record is from RNAcentral.